RNAcentral lists this ribosomal RNA (459 nucleotides) under uncultured bacterium. RNAcentral describes it as "partial 16S ribosomal RNA". It matches the Rfam family "Bacterial small subunit ribosomal RNA", at positions 338 to 795 of the family's 1533-position model. The record is from RNAcentral.
CCUACGGUAGGCAGCAGUGAGGAAUAUUGGUCAAUGGCCGGAAGCCUGAACCAGCCAAGCCGCGUGAAGGACGAAUGUGCCACGCAUUGUAAACUUCUUUUGUCAAGGGACAAAAUCAGGCACGUGAGCCUGACCGAGUGUACUUUCAGAAAAAGCAUCGGCUAACUCCGUGCCAGCAGCCGCGGUAAUACGGAGAAUGCGAGCGUUAUCCGGAUUUAUUGGGUUUAAGGGGUGCGUAUGUGGACUGUUAAGUCAGCGGUAAAAGCUCGGGGCUCAACCCAGGCCAGCCGUUGAAACUGGCAGUCUUGAGAUGACGGGAGGUAGGCGGAAUGCGCAGUGUAGCGGUGAAAUGCUUAGAUAUUGCGCAGAACUCCGAUUGCGAAGGCAGCAUACCGGAGGGGAUCUGACGCUGAGGCACGAAAGCGUGGGUAUCGAACAGGAUUAGAUACCCUAGUAGUC